GGGGCUGGGCCUCAGUCGGUACAGUGCUUGCUUAGCAUGCAUGAAGCCCUGGGUUCAAACCCCAACACCUCCU
This 73-nucleotide transfer RNA is filed under the name Rattus norvegicus (Norway rat). It matches the Rfam family "tRNA". Rfam says of the family: Transfer RNA (tRNA) molecules are approximately 80 nucleotides in length. Their secondary structure includes four short double-helical elements and three loops (D, anti-codon, and T loops). Further hydrogen bonds mediate the characteristic L-shaped molecular structure. tRNAs have two regions of fundamental functional importance: the anti-codon, which is responsible for specific mRNA codon recognition, and the 3' end, to which the tRNAs corresponding amino acid is attached (by aminoacyl-tRNA synthetases). tRNAs cope with the degeneracy of the genetic code in two manners: having more than one tRNA (with a specific anti-codon) for a particular amino acid; and 'wobble' base-pairing, i.e. permitting non-standard base-pairing at the 3rd anti-codon position. The record is from Rfam by way of RNAcentral. Lineage: Eukaryota; Metazoa; Chordata; Mammalia; Rodentia; Muridae.